RNAcentral lists this ribosomal RNA (383 nucleotides) under uncultured bacterium. RNAcentral describes it as "bacterial SSU rRNA". It matches the Rfam family "Bacterial small subunit ribosomal RNA", at positions 30 to 412 of the family's 1533-position model. The record is from RNAcentral.
AUUGAACGCUGGCGGCAUGCCUUACACAUGCAAGUCGAACGGCAGCGGACCUUCGGGUGGCCGGCGAGUGGCGAACGGGUGAGUAAUAUAUCGGGAACGUACCUUUCAGUGGGGGAUAACGUAGCGAAAGUUACGCUAAUACCGCAUAUUCUGUGAGCAGGAAAGCAGGGGAUCGCAAGACCUUGCGCUGAUUGAGCGGCCGAUAUCAGAUUAGCUAGUUGGUGAGGCAAAGGCUCACCAAGGCGACGAUCUGUAGCGGGUCUGAGAGGAUGAUCCGCCACACUGGAACUGAGACACGGUCCAGACUCCUACGGGAGGCGAGCAGUGGGGAAUUUUGGACAAUGGGCGCAAGCCUGAUCCAGCCAUGCCGCGUGAGUGAAGAA